GAGCCAGCCAAGCAGGGCGCGACGUCUGGAAGUUCUGUUGGGCGACUUGAAGGCUGUGGGAUCGGAGGACGUGGGCACCGUUUGGUUUCCAGGGGAGGAAAUGACUUAGCUUGUUUACUUACCAGAUCAGGAAAAACCCUGAUUUUUUCCCUGACCCGAGUGGAUGGGCUAGCUGAUUUGAGGAAUGCGCCUUCAUUGGCAGAAGCCUUGGGAACUCAGCUACCUAGCUGCUUGGAAUUGAAAUGUGGCUGUGCGUGUCGGAAUUCUUGGAAUUUAUCCCUCCCCGCAUUUCGGAGAAUGUAAAAUUGCUUUCACGUGUAGUUUCUUUAUGUGUGCGGAUGUGCCUUCUUGUCUGAUUUUGGAGAAGUGAGCAGUGUGGUCACCAGCCUUCAAGACGGCCCCCAAAGAUCCUUGCCUGCUGGUAUUCACACCCCUGCGUAGUUCCCUCCCACACUGUACGGGGAUUGGUCCGUGUGACUGACAGCUGAUGGCAGAAGUGAUGGGAAAGCAAGCUGUCACGCUGCGAGCAGUCCUCUGGAGGGGUCCAUGUGAUGAAAAACUGAGGCCUCCAGCCAGUAGCCAGCCUGCCAACAGCCUCAUUGCCGAGUUUAGAAGCUGGUUCUCCAGCCGCAGUACAGCUUUGAAAUGACGGUAGCCUUGACCAACGUCCUCACUCUAACCUCGUGAGGGAUUCUGAGCCGGAAACACCCAGCCAAGCCACUCCUGGAUAUCUGACCUUCAAAAACUGUAUGCUUGUAAAUGUUUGUUGUUUUAAACUACUAAGUGUUGAGGUACCUUGUUACGUGACAGUCAAAACACACACAAAAACGAUAAGGCAGAGGGACUUUAGAAUUCAAUCUCAGUUUGAAUCCCGACUCUGCGUGUUAUUAACUGUACUUUGAACCAGUUCUUGAACUUCUCUGAGUCUGUUUCCAAAUCUGUAAAAUGACGUUGCUCAUACCUUCUCAGAGAGCACCGCUGAGUAAUAGGUGCUACCCCAGCUGGAGAAUUCCAGCUCCCCUUGUCCUCGUGGGCAGGUCAGGUAUGAAGGGAUCCCCUGGGCUCCAGUUGGCCAGGCAGGGCCUCAUGCCUGCCCCGUGGCAUCCCGCUGGUGCAGGCUGCCCAGAAUGCCCCUACCAUGUUGCUUUGACAGGUUUGCCUGUGGGCUGGGGAUCUCCCAGCAAUUCCUCAACCAUAAACAUUUUCACAGGAAGAAACAGAACGGAAUAUUAGAGUUCAACAUUUCCAUGAUUUGGUCUCACUGCCUGGUUUUUCUUAAGAUUUCUUUCCAAUUCUGGGUAUAGCAAACUGUGCUUUCUUAUAUUUAUUUAAUAAACU
Molecule: long non-coding RNA, 1338 nt
Organism: Phyllostomus hastatus (greater spear-nosed bat)
Lineage: Eukaryota; Metazoa; Chordata; Mammalia; Chiroptera; Phyllostomidae
Exons: 3
Source: RefSeq, a predicted model, not a curated record